Molecule: ribosomal RNA, 491 nt
Filed under: uncultured Lachnospiraceae bacterium
Lineage: Bacteria; Bacillati; Bacillota; Clostridia; Lachnospirales; Lachnospiraceae
Description: bacterial SSU rRNA
Rfam family: Bacterial small subunit ribosomal RNA
Source: RNAcentral
UAUCCUGGCUCAGGAUGAACGCUGGCGGCAUGCCUAACACAUGCAAGUCAACGGGGUUUAUAUGACGGAGCUCUCCGGAGGGAAGAUAUAUAAACCUAGUGGCGGACGGGUGAGUAACGCGUGGGCAACCUGCCCUGUACCGGGGGACAACAGCCAGAAAUGGCUGCUAAUACCGCAUAAGCCUGCUGUGCCGCAUGGCACAGCAGGGAAAACCACGGUGGUACAGGAUGGGCCCGCGUCUGAUUAGUUAGUUGGCAGGGUAACGGCCUACCAAGACAACGAUCAGUAGCCGGCUUGAGAGAGUGGACGGCCACAUUGGGACUGAGACACGGCCCAGACUCCUGCGGGAGGCAGCAGUGGGGAAUAUUGCACAAUGGGGGAACCCUGAUGCAGCAAUGCCGCGUGGGUGAAGAAGCACUCCGGUGCGUAAAGCCCUGUCAGCAGGGAAGAAAAUGACAGUACCUGGACAAGAAGCCCCGGCUAACUACGUG